GGCUGGUCUGAAUGCAGUGGAGUUUACAAGUCAUUGAUCACAACUACUUAUAGAUUUCUUUGUUUUUCCUCCACUCCCACUGCUUUUUUUUUUUUUUUUUGACUAGCCAAAA
Molecule: Y RNA, 112 nt
Filed under: Nomascus leucogenys (northern white-cheeked gibbon)
Lineage: Eukaryota; Metazoa; Chordata; Mammalia; Primates; Hylobatidae
Rfam family: Y RNA
About the family: Y RNAs are components of the Ro ribonucleoprotein particle (Ro RNP), in association with Ro60 and La proteins. The Y RNAs and Ro60 and La proteins are well conserved, but the function of the Ro RNP is not known. In humans the RNA component can be one of four small RNAs -- hY1, hY3, hY4 and hY5.
Source: Rfam by way of RNAcentral